Molecule: ribosomal RNA, 269 nt
Filed under: uncultured bacterium
Lineage: Bacteria
Description: partial 16S ribosomal RNA
Rfam family: Bacterial small subunit ribosomal RNA
Source: RNAcentral
GUCCACGCUGUAAACGAUGAGCACUAGGUGUGGGGGGGUUCAGUCCCCUCCGUGCCGCAGCUAACGCAUUAAGUGCUCCGCCUGGGGAGUACGGCCGCAAGGUUGAAACUCAAAGGAAUUGACGGGGGCCCGCACAAGCGGUGGAGCAUGUGGUUCAAUUCGAUGCAGAGCGAAGAACCUUACCUGGGCUUGACAUGCAGGAAGUAGAAACCGGAAACGGCGACGACCUGUUAAGUCAGGAACCUGCACAGGUGGUGCAUGGCUGUCGU